UACGGGGGGGGCAAGCGUUGUCCGGAAUUAUUGGGCGUAAAGAGCUCGUAGGCGGUUUGUCGCGUCUGCUGUGAAAACUGGAGGCUCAACCUCCAGCCUGCAGUGGGUACGGGCAGACUAGAGUGCGGUAGGGGAGAUUGGAAUUCCUGGUGUAGCGGUGGAAUGCGCAGAUAUCAGGAGGAACACCGAUGGCGAAGGCAGAUCUCUGGGCCGUAACUGACGCUGAGGAGCGAAAGCAUGGGGAGCGAACAGG
This 253-nucleotide ribosomal RNA is filed under the name uncultured bacterium. RNAcentral's name for it is "partial 16S ribosomal RNA". It matches the Rfam family "Bacterial small subunit ribosomal RNA", at positions 524 to 776 of the family's 1533-position model. The record is from RNAcentral.